UCCUCAGCUCUUCCUCGCCUUUCUCUCUCCUCAGCUCUUUGUUCACCGCCUACUCAAAUUAUGUUUUGAUUAUGUACUUGAGACCCACUUUGGAAUAGUUUGGAGGACGAGAUUGUGAUUGAGAGAGAAACAGACACUGAAAUCUAGAGAGAGAAAAUGGGUAUAAAUGGAGUUUGGAAGAAAUGGAGAGAGAAAGUGAUAA
This 202-nucleotide long non-coding RNA is filed under the name Panax ginseng (ginseng). RNAcentral describes it as "long non-coding RNA (PGIN_LNC014533)". Lineage: Eukaryota; Viridiplantae; Streptophyta; Magnoliopsida; Apiales; Araliaceae. The record is from RNAcentral.